UUUAAAUUGAGAGUUUGAUCCUGGCUCAGGAUGAACGCUGGUGGCGUGCCUAAUACAUGCAAGUCGUACGCUAGCCGCUGAAUUGAUCCUUCGGGUGAAGUGAGGCAAUGACUAGAGUGGCGAACUGGUGAGUAACACGUAAGAAACCUGCCCUUUAGUGGGGGAUAACAUUUGGAAACAGAUGCUAAUACCGCGUAACAACAAAUCACACAUGUGAUCUGUUUGAAAGGUCCUUUUGGAUCGCUAGAGGA
Molecule: ribosomal RNA, 251 nt
Filed under: Oenococcus oeni
Lineage: Bacteria; Bacillati; Bacillota; Bacilli; Lactobacillales; Lactobacillaceae
Description: partial 16S ribosomal RNA
Rfam family: Bacterial small subunit ribosomal RNA
Source: RNAcentral